GUCCUAUAAACACCAGGCUGUAGGUUAUAAAAGCAGGCAACAGCUCACUGCUCCCUUUGCUCAGAGGCAGCAUUUUUGGAAGACAAGAUGGUUGCCUGCCCUCAGAAGGAAGAUUUACACAGUAGGGUAGAAUAAUUACUCAAAAACAGACAGAAGAAGAAACAACAACCUGUCUCCGAGGCCUGGACUUACCCAGAUAUGCAGUACAGUGCGUAUGAGAACCAUCCCGCAGGGCCAUGCCAGUGUCUGGGAGAACUCACUCCUGGUUGAUUCAUUGGAAUUAUCAGCCCCCAAGCUGUAGACUCCUGCUCAGUCGGCUUAGAACUCUCCUCAGCAGCAGCAUCACCCUUCAUUCAGCCCGCGAAGCUGCUACCAGAGUGAUGUGGCAAUUCAGCUGUUUGGAAUUAGCUGGAUAUUGUCCUGAGCACCUUGGAUCAGCUUGAACUAUGCAGGGUCUUGGCGGCGUGGCUAUGUCCAGGGACAAGAGUUGGGCUUAUCCAGUUUCUCUGCUUGUUCCCCACCUGGCAUCACAAAUGUUGGUGUGCUCAUGGUGAUCUCUGUGGACUGAUCGUGGAAGAUUGUGACUGCAUGUGAGGAAUAAGCAACAGCGGCAGGAAGCCCAGGGGCGACUCAGGAAACAAGGAUCCUGUUCUCCUGCAGAUGUCCCUCAUCAGAGGGAACAGACCAGCAGGAGAAGCGGAGGGACAACCACACACAAAUGUACCAUGGCUCUGCUCUGAAGAUGCCUUGCACUUAAUUAUUUCUAAUUGGCCUGUCACUGAAGAAUGAAGGCAACUCCGACAAUGUUAUCUGACAGGGAGGGAGGGAGGCUGCUCCUAGCACCCUGGAAAUAUGGGCAGAGGUGGGGCCUGCAGCUGGCAAAUGCUGACCGGCAAAGUCUGGCACCAACCAAGCGAGCUGAGUCCCUCUGCCCGAUGUGCUGCCAUAAAGAUGAAGCUGAAGACUCAGGCCUGGACAACAAGGAUAGCCAAGAAGUGAAGGUGAGGCUCCUUUCUGGUCAUGCCCAAGAGAUGGCACCGGAGCAGCCAGCAUUUCUCCACAGCUCUGAACAUAGAAGCACGAGGCAACUCAGGAAAAGAAGGUUUGAUCCUGCACCUGAGAAAUCCCAUUGACUUCAAAGAAUUUGCCAUGUGGUUUAAGGACUACUUGUGUCAGCAAGGCCUGACGAUUCAGUCUCUUAGGCUUAGAUCCUCAGAAGGUAUUUAGGCACCUGAUACUCAAAAUCAAUGGGAAUUAGGCACCUAAAUACCUCUGAGGAUCUGGAGCUUAGGGCUCAAUCGUCCUAAGUGUGGCAAUCUGCCUUCCAGCUUCCCCUUGCUCCAAGGGGGAAGAACUCUGCCCCAGGUCUGUAUCCAGUGCAGGACACUUCCCCUGGCACAUUGUUGUAGCAACACUAUCCAGCAUGUUGGGCUCAUGGAGCCAAGGCUCCAUCCGCUCCUUGCCACAUCCCACCCAGUCCCUGGGGAAGCAUGGACAUAUCAGUCCAAUGCAGGCUGCUCUCCUGGGAGCACUGCAAUAGCAUAAGCUUGGGUGUCCAGCCCAAGGAAGUCAGACUCCUUGACUCCCUUGUGCAGCCGCAGCCUGGCUGGCCAUGGGAGAUUAACCGAAUGGGGAAAAGGGCAUCGAAAGGGUGCUGUGACUAGUGACUGAGGAUAUUUGAGAGAACUUGGAACCCAGACAAAAAUUUCCCC
Mauremys reevesii (Reeves's turtle) is the source of this 1712-nucleotide long non-coding RNA. RefSeq lists it as uncharacterized. The transcript has 8 exons. The record is from RefSeq and is a predicted model, not a curated record. Lineage: Eukaryota; Metazoa; Chordata; Testudines; Geoemydidae.